CCAAUUCACAUAAAAUGCAAGGUGUGGCUGCUCUGACAUGGUGCUUCAGUAGUGGCCGAGAGGAGACUAUGUCUAUGCUCCAGGCUCUGACCUAUGAACAUCUGAACGGUUAGUAGCCUAACACU
Small nucleolar RNA from Rattus norvegicus (Norway rat), 125 nucleotides. Ensembl annotates it as small nucleolar RNA SNORA17. Lineage: Eukaryota; Metazoa; Chordata; Mammalia; Rodentia; Muridae. The record is from Ensembl.